AGAGUUUGAUCCUGGCUCAGGACGAACGCUGGCGGCGCGCCUAAUACAUGCAAGUCGAACGGGCAUCCCUUCGGGGGUGUCAGUGGCGGACGGGUGAGUAACACGUGGGUGACCUGCCCUCUAGUGGGGAAUAACUCUGGGAAACCAGGGCUAAUACCGCAUAUGCUUAAUGCUUCAGUGCAUUAAGUAAAGAGUAUCGCUGGAGGAGGGGCCUGCGCCAGAUUAGCUAGUCGGUGGGGUAAUGGCUUACCGAGGCUACGAUCUGUAGCUGGUCUGAGAGGACGACCAGCCACACUGGGACUGAGACACGGCCCAGACUCCUACGGGAGGCAGCAGUAAGGAAUAUUCCACAAUGGGCGCAAGCCUGAUGGAGCGACGCCGCGUGAGCGAAGAAGCCCUUCGGGGUGUAAAGCUCUUUUCAGUGGGAUGACAAGGACAGUACCACUGGAAUAAGCCUCGGCUAACUACGUGCCAGCAGCCGCGGUAAUACGUAGGAGGCAAGCGUUGUCCGGAAUCACUGGGCGUAAAGAGCGUGUAGGCGGCAUGGUAAGUCUGCUGUGAAAGCGCCCGGCUUAACCGGGUGAGGUCGGUGGAAACUGCCAGGCUGGAGGACGGUAGAGGGGGGUGGAAUUCCCGGUGUAGUGGUGAAAUGCGUACAGAUCGGGAGGAACACCAGCGGCGAAGGCGGCCCCCUGGGCCGGUCCUGACGCUGAGACGCGAAGGCCAGGGGAGCGAACGGGAUUAGAUACCA
Molecule: ribosomal RNA, 751 nt
Filed under: uncultured microorganism
Description: bacterial SSU rRNA
Rfam family: Bacterial small subunit ribosomal RNA
Source: RNAcentral